Long non-coding RNA from Populus trichocarpa (black cottonwood), 696 nucleotides. RefSeq lists it as uncharacterized. The transcript is spliced from 3 exons. The record is from RefSeq and is a predicted model, not a curated record. NCBI's taxonomy places the organism in Eukaryota, Viridiplantae, Streptophyta, Magnoliopsida, Malpighiales, Salicaceae.
CAAAAGGUUGAUAUAAGUUGAAGGUAAACCGAAGAGAAAUUCAGGCACAACUCUUGAUAUAGCAGAGGCAAUGUUGAGAGCUUCAAGAAAGAUAAAUACACUGUCAGGAAAUUCAAAAAGUAAAGAGAAGAAAGAAACAAUAGCUGUUGAGAAAGGAGGUUUGUCCAUGAAGCAAGCUAGAAGGAAAGUUAUUUUUGAUGCCGAUGGAGACUACUUUUACCUACCCUAGAUUUCUGGCGCAACCAAAUUCCAGUUUAUGAUGAGUUGUGCAGGAUCGGUUUCAGGAUUACUACUCUCGAGACCAGCACCGGAACUCAUUGACCAUCUCAUUGGAACAACCAAAUCCCUGCCAAUUUAUAAAUGACAAAGUAUCCAUAAACAUCCAUUUCAAUGCACAGAAGGAGGGAGGAGAGAGGUCACAGGUUUGAGACCUGCCCUUAUUCCUCAAAACAGGAAAAAGAACACGCGUGUUUAACAAUGGCUUCCUAAUGCUGAAGCCAACUCAAGCUACUGCUGCUGUACAAAUCCCACUCUAUAAUAUCUGAAGAAGGAAAAUAGAAAGAUGCAUACCCUUCAGUGCAUUUGUGUCUGCAGCGGUUCAUCUUAUUCUCUGUAUAAUUUCCAACGACAGCAUAGAGGCUCCUUGCUAGUUCCAGUGAAUCACGUAAUGAUAAAACAUCCCAAACCUUAAGAAUU